Molecule: ribosomal RNA, 379 nt
Filed under: uncultured bacterium
Lineage: Bacteria
Description: bacterial SSU rRNA
Rfam family: Bacterial small subunit ribosomal RNA
Source: RNAcentral
GUACUUUCAGUCGUGAGGAAGGCGGCGUCGUUAAUAGCGGCGUUGUUUGACGUUAGCGACAGAAGAAAGCACCGGCUAACUCCGUGCCAGCAGCCGCGGUAAUACGGAGGGUGCGAGCGUUAAUCGGAAUUACUGGGCGUAAAGCGCAUGCAGGUGGUUUGUUAAGUCAGAUGUGAAAGACCCGGGGCGUCAACCUCGGAAUUGCAUUUGUAAACUAGGCAGACUAGAGUACUGUAGAGGGGGGUAGGAAUUUCAGGUGUAGCGGUGAAAUAGCGUAGAGAUCUGAAGGAAUACCGGUGGCGAAGGCGGCCCCCUCGGACAGAUACUGACACUCAGAUGCGAAAGCGUGGGGAGCAAACAGGAUUAGAUACCCUGGUAG